RNAcentral lists this ribosomal RNA (981 nucleotides) under Bacillus licheniformis. Its description in RNAcentral is "bacterial SSU rRNA". It matches the Rfam family "Bacterial small subunit ribosomal RNA", at positions 62 to 1027 of the family's 1533-position model. The record is from RNAcentral. Lineage: Bacteria; Bacillati; Bacillota; Bacilli; Caryophanales; Bacillaceae.
UCGCAGCGGACAGAUGGGAGCUUGCUCCCUGAUGUUAGCGGCGGACGGGUGAGUAACACGUGGGUAACCUGCCUGUAAGACUGGGAUAACUCCGGGAAACCGGGGCUAAUACCGGAUGGUUGUUUGAACCGCAUGGUUCAAACAUAAAAGGUGGCUUCGGCUACCACUUACAGAUGGACCCGCGGCGCAUUAGCUAGUUGGUGAGGUAACGGCUCACCAAGGCAACGAUGCGUAGCCGACCUGAGAGGGUGAUCGGCCACACUGGGACUGAGACACGGCCCAGACUCCUACGGGAGGCAGCAGUAGGGAAUCUUCCGCAAUGGACGAAAGUCUGACGGAGCAACGCCGCGUGAGUGAUGAAGGUUUUCGGAUCGUAAAGCUCUGUUGUUAGGGAAGAACAAGUACCGUUCGAAUAGGGCGGUACCUUGACGGUACCUAACCAGAAAGCCACGGCUAACUACGUGCCAGCAGCCGCGGUAAUACGUAGGUGGCAAGCGUUGUCCGGAAUUAUUGGGCGUAAAGGGCUCGCAGGCGGUUUCUUAAGUCUGAUGUGAAAGCCCCCGGCUCAACCGGGGAGGGUCAUUGGAAACUGGGGAACUUGAGUGCAGAAGAGGAGAGUGGAAUUCCACGUGUAGCGGUGAAAUGCGUAGAGAUGUGGAGGAACACCAGUGGCGAAGGCGACUCUCUGGUCUGUAACUGACGCUGAGGAGCGAAAGCGUGGGGAGCGAACAGGAUUAGAUACCGCUGGUAGUCCACGCCGUAAACGAUGAGUGCUAAGUGUUAGGGGGUUUCCGCCCCUUAUUGGUGCAGCUAACGCAUUAAGCACUACUGCCUGGGAGUACUGUCGCAGGACUGUAUACUCAUAGAAUUAACAAGCGCGCCGCACAACCGUGGAGCAUGAUAGUUAAUUAAAAUCAUCGCACCAACGUUAUCACGGCGUUGACGUGCUCUGACAUCCUAGAGGAUAUGACGUGCACGUCA